ACCAUAACAGUGGUAGAGCGCGUCACUAGUAAUGACGAGGUUGCCGGUUCGAUUCCGUCUAUGGGCA
RNAcentral lists this transfer RNA (67 nucleotides) under Cadophora malorum. Its description in RNAcentral is "tRNA-Thr". Lineage: Eukaryota; Fungi; Ascomycota; Leotiomycetes; Helotiales; Ploettnerulaceae. The record is from RNAcentral.